This is an RNA transcript of Neogale vison (American mink), 1672 nucleotides long. It is a transcript of the gene named heterogeneous nuclear ribonucleoprotein D-like, with no coding region annotated. The transcript has 9 exons. The record is from RefSeq and is a predicted model, not a curated record. Lineage: Eukaryota; Metazoa; Chordata; Mammalia; Carnivora; Mustelidae.
UCAGCGGGAGGGCCGCGAUGGAGGUCCCGCCCCGGCUCUCCCAUGUGCCGCCGCCAUUGUUCCCCUCCGCUCCCGCUACUUUAGCCUCCCGCAGCCUUUCCCAUUGGCGGCCGCGGGCGCCGCGGCAGCUCGCCCCGCUCCUCCCUUCGCUCGCUCCCAGCUCCGCCCGGCAGGGGGCGCGCCGGGCCCAGCGCCACGUCACCGCGCAGCAGCCCUCGCGAUUGGCGGGCGGGGCGGCUAUAAAGGGAGGGCGCAGGCGGCGCCCGGAUCUCUUCCGCCGCCAUUUUAAAUCCAGCUCCAUACAACGCUCCGCCGCCGCUGCCGCCGCGACCCGGACUGCGCGCCAGCACCCCCCGGCCGACAGCUCCGCCGCCAUGGAGGACAUGAACGAGUACAGCAACAUAGAGGAGUUCGCAGAGGGAUCCAAGAUCAACGCGAGCAAGAACCAGCAGGAUGACGGUAAAAUGUUCAUUGGAGGCUUGAGCUGGGAUACAAGCAAGAAGGAUCUGACUGAGUAUUUGUCCCGGUUUGGGGAAGUGGUGGACUGUACGAUUAAGACCGACCCGGUGACCGGAAGAUCGAGAGGAUUCGGAUUCGUGCUCUUCAAAGACGCUGCUAGUGUCGACAAGGUGUUGGAACUGAAAGAACACAAACUGGAUGGCAAAUUGAUAGACCCCAAAAGGGCCAAAGCUUUAAAAGGGAAAGAACCGCCCAAAAAGGUGUUUGUGGGUGGAUUGAGCCCAGAUACUUCGGAAGAACAAAUUAAAGAAUAUUUUGGAGCCUUUGGAGAGAUUGAAAAUAUUGAACUUCCCAUGGAUACAAAAACAAAUGAAAGAAGAGGAUUUUGUUUUAUCACAUAUACAGAUGAAGAGCCAGUAAAGAAAUUAUUAGAAAGCAGAUAUCAUCAAAUCGGUUCUGGGAAGUGUGAAAUCAAAGUUGCACAACCCAAAGAGGUAUACAGGCAGCAACAGCAGCAACAAAAAGGAGGAAGAGGUGCUGCAGCUGGUGGACGAGGUGGCACUAGGGGUCGUGGACGAGGUCAGGGCCAAAACUGGAACCAAGGAUUUAAUAACUAUUAUGAUCAAGGAUAUGGAAAUUACAAUAGUGCCUAUGGUGGUGAUCAAAACUAUAGUGGCUAUGGCGGCUAUGAUUAUACUGGGUAUAACUAUGGGAACUAUGGAUAUGGACAGGGAUAUGCAGACUACAGUGGCCAGCAGAGCACUUACGGCAAGGCAUCUCGAGGGGGUGGCAAUCACCAAAACAAUUACCAGCCAUACUAAAGGAGGACAUUGGAGAAAACAGCGGGAACUUCAUUGCAGGCCGUGUGUCACCCUGACCACGUCUAUCUCUGGGGGUCGCACGUUGCGGGCAGAGCGCAAGGCAUACACCAGAAAACGCUGUCCUGUGGAGGAAAUUGCUAAAGUUAACCCAUCUUGCAGGACGACAUUGAAGAUUGGUCUUCUGUUGAUCUAAGAUGAUUAUUUUGUAAAAGACUUUCUAGUGUACAAGACACAACUGUGUCCAACUGUAUAUAGCCGCCAAUUAGUUUUCUUUGUUUUUACUUUGUCUUUUGCUAUCUGUGUUAUGACUCGAUGUGGAUUUGUGUUUAUACAAAUUUUAUUUGUAUGAUUUCAUGUUAAACCUCAAAUAAAUGCUUCCUUAUGUGAUUGUU